RNAcentral lists this ribosomal RNA (191 nucleotides) under uncultured bacterium. Its description in RNAcentral is "partial 16S ribosomal RNA". It matches the Rfam family "Bacterial small subunit ribosomal RNA", at positions 1309 to 1500 of the family's 1533-position model. The record is from RNAcentral.
AACUCGCCUACAUGAAGUCGGAAUCGCUAGUAAUCGCGAUCAGCAUGCCGCGGUGAAUACGUUCCCGGGCCUUGUACACACCGCCCGUCACACCAUGAGAGUUUGUAACACCCAAAGCCGGUGGGGUAACCUUUUGGAGCCAGCCGUCUAAGGUGGGACAGAUGAUUGGGGUGAAGUCGUAACAAGGUACC